CCCGCCUGCCCCCCCACUCGCUGCCGGCUCGGCCCCCGGCGGAGGCGCUCCCACCUACUGCAUUACCGGGUGGUGCUGAACUGGACAGCUCCCUGCGCCGCCCGCUCCGCGCGCGCCCCGGCUCGCUGGGCGGCCCGCCAGGAGGGGGGCGCGGGCCGGAGUCCUCCCUCCCUCCGGGGGCGGCAGGGCCGGGGCAGAGCCGGGGGCUGCCUUCCCUCUUUUUACCCCUCUCCCCAAAUCCUAAAAUGAGCGCUCUUCUGGGCUCCCGGAGCUCGGAGGAAGGCGUAGCUAGAGAUAGCUUGCUCCCUCUCCCUCUCCCUCUCUCUCUCUCUCUCUCUCUCACUCUCUCUCCCCUGCCCUCCCCCCUUGGUGUUUCUUCCAGCUCAGCCUCCUUCUCAUUCCAUCUCUACGUGCCCAGAGCUUCAAAUACAACCCUCCCAUCGCAAUCAGAUGGGCACAAAACUUCAAGCAGCCGUUUCUCUGCCUGGAAGCGGUGAAAAUAUAGCCUGGAUGGGUGGGGAUGCCGAGGCCCAGAGAAGCUGAGCAGUUAGCCCAAGGGUACAGCGGCAGAGCUGGGCACGAGACGGGGUCCCCCGCAUUCUGCGUGCGAUCAGCCUGCCUCGUCCACCUGCCGGGCGACAGCACCGGCUCCAGGAUCCUCCCUGCAGGAGCAGGUGCAGAGAAGGCGCUCCUGUGCUCACGGGCCCCGAGGAGAAGCCCGACGCGUCUCUCAUACCCUGGCCUCUGGUCUCAGAAGAGCAGCUGGAGCAUCUCUCUCUCCUGCCUCCGUCCCAAGUCCCCUCCUCGCAGCCUCCCGAGACAGGACCGCGGCCACCUCCGCAGAGCCAGCCCCAGGGGACCAGGUCUCCUCUCCCCGGGACCACUGGGACACGGCUCGCCGACUGACCUAUAUUCCGCUCCACUGCUGUUUGCCAUCUUUGUCCCCUCCCGCCCAGCACGCAACCCCACCCUGCCCAAACACUCCCGUCCCUCCAAGGACGUUGUAAAAAUAAAACGAUCACAACCUGGCCCUCGGGGAACCUUG
Felis catus (domestic cat) is the source of this 1045-nucleotide long non-coding RNA. RefSeq lists it as uncharacterized. The record is from RefSeq and is a predicted model, not a curated record. The transcript is spliced from 2 exons. Lineage: Eukaryota; Metazoa; Chordata; Mammalia; Carnivora; Felidae.